UCUGCGGCUAUUAUUAAAUCUUCCCAGCCGCUCAUCUGGAUUACAUUUAAGCUCUCACGGCGUUUGUUUCCCCUCUAAUUAAGCGUAGUUUCAAAACAGAGCAUGUCUGAGGAUGGAUCUUUCUUCGGCUUCUAUUUAAAAUGUAGAGACAGCCCUGCGCUUUACUGUGCGCUGCUUCAGCUGCCGACUUAAAAUCCUUCCUGAACAUCCAGAUAGGGAACUUGCAUGAAAUGUGAACGUCCAUUCUUCCACCUCUCUCCCCGGGCAGGAUGUCAUCCUGCCCGGUACUCAAAGGGAACCGAAGCAAGAAUGCAAGACAUGGUGAAAUUUUAGAAGUAGUCCAAGGUGGAGGACGGGAAGGUCCCAUGUCAGACGACGACUCACAAUUUUUUUCUUUUUUUUUUUUUCUUUCUACCUGCGUAUGUACAGCUACAAAAGUGAAAUAAGUACUAAUUGCCCAAUGGGAUUCAAAAGGCUCUUCAGAUAUUUUAUAGCUGUAAUUUGCAUCCCCUCUACAUGCCCUCGUAGUAAAAGAGCCCAUAUUAAUAUUAUAUUAAACGUUAAUGCAAUUGCUGAGUGAGAAGAAUGCCCUUAACAGCAUUAGGCUGUUGAGAAGCAUUUCUAUAGGCACAACCUGAAUGUCCGGGCCGGUUGCAUGACAACAAGGAGAGACAUCAUGAAAUUAAGAGUAGAAACGACCCGUUAAGUCGUCUAAUCAGUGGGCUACUUUGGCUAGCAUCUCACAAUAGUUUCCAGCAUUUCAUUUUACAAGCCCUUUGUCUACCAUUAAAUGCCUGUAAGUGGCAAGGUGACAGCCCUUCCCUGAAGCUCUAGUUUUACAUCUGAGCUUGCAAUUAAUCGCAUUUUUCUCUGAUAUGGGAAGUAUUUCAGUUUCAACACAUUGCAUUGUCAGGAAAGAAUUAAAAGGAUCAGGCUUUUUGCAUUGGUUAAGCUAUGAAAUUACCAGAAAUAACAAGCCUUGAUAAAGAGCAUGUUACACCCAGAAUCCGAGACCAUUUUCUGCUUGCAUACCGAACGCAGGUGCACACACCAAGCAUGCACUUCACCCAUCACGGAGGUGCAAGCCUCUCUGGUGGCACUCAGCCAGCAGUACUGGGGCACUGCAAAAUUACCCAGCAGGUUAGGACAGAUAAAGAAAAAAACAUCUCCCCUACACUAAUGAAGCCCAUGCUAGCACAGAAGAUAUGUUAGCACGGGCUUUAGUCCAGCGUAUCUCUCUGCACAUGCAGUAGCUGGUAGCAUUCACCAAAACUUUCCCUGUCUUCACUGUUAUGUGUGCCGCACCUGGCAGCUCCCGCAUUGAGCUACAGUUAUGCCUUCGUUUUGCUGCACAGACAUACUCUGCGAUUGCAUCACUACUUCUACAGGAACUUGGAUUUUACACGUCAGUGUCCAUGCCAGAGAUCUCCCUGAAGAACUACUGUCUGGAAAGAAAAUACUUCUAUUUCUCCUCGAGGGCUGCUUUACUAUCAAUACAGAGAUAGUGGAAAUUUAGGAAGCCUUAACAAAGCUUCUGAUAUUAAUGCAUCGUUUCUCCACAACGGUGCUAAUUUUACUGCUUAUCUCUGUUUUACAACCAAGAAUCCAGCUGUCAUAAUUACAAGGCAAGCUGCACUUUAGCUGCUGUGGCAGCCCAGCAUGCCUGCACCCCCAAGCGGCAGGCUUGCCUUUUUUUAUUUUUCUUGAGGGAAUAAUCCCAUAAUGCAGCCCCUUUAUUUCCCCAAUUAGAAUAAAUCUAAAGGGCCUAACUACAUUUGGUACUGGGAAGCCUUUUUCCACUGAGAGCCUGUGACUAGCAGCUGAUUAAAAUGACACAGAAAUAGCUUCUUCAAAGCCAGGCAUUGUUUAUUCAGCCAAAAGGGAUGAAACAACAAAAGGCUUUUAUGUUUGGUUCUUACCUAAAGUGCAAUGCCUUUUUGUUUUCAGAUUUUGAAUAAGUUUUAUUCAGCAAAAUCUAUCUUCCCCACCUCAGAGUAAUCGGACUGUUCCUGCAGCUUUCUUGCUGUCCUUCUCUGCCUGGCUCCCCUUCACGUGCUGCUUCCUUCUGCUUGCUCCCCUGCAUUUCGGGAAGGAGCCUGGCUCGGGGAUGCUGCAGGAUCUCCCCUUCAUCCAGUGCCUUCCUUCUAGCUCAGUCGUUUUUCUUAGCACAGAGCAAUGCCAUAUCCUGCUCCAGCUCAGUGCUCUGAGAAUGGCUCCGAGGUACAGAUCAUUCCUUCGUCCCAACUCAAAGGUAAUAAUUAUUUGCAUCUAGGUUUUCUUAAUAUGGAUUUCCUGAUAUGUAUAACCCAAACCUAUUUACUGUGCUAGUCUGAGUUCCCAAGUCUCCCUGGGCUAUUGUGCUAUGGGCCCUCAAUUCGUCAGUGCUACAUCACCAGCGUUGUCAUUGGGGUUGUUGUUGUUGCAGCAUGUCGCAGAACUCUCCACUGUAGUGACCAAUCCCUGACCUGACCUUCUUGGUGGAGAGGCUGACCUGGUGUCCUUCAUUGUCCUCUAAAGUUCAGAAAUGGUGGAUUUUUGCCAUUUGUUGUAUACACCUUUCUUGAAGCAACUGCCUCACUUGACGGUGGGAAAAACUGCCUUCUGACUCUGCUGCCAUUUAUAAGUACUAUAGGUAUGUAAACAUCAUUUUCAUAUGGGAAACCCCAAGACAUCUUGAAGGUUCUCUUUCCCUUACUUGCUUACAUAUCUGCAAAUCCUUAGUGACUUCCCAACAGUGAAGGCACUUGGCUGAAAUACAGACGAAAUGGGGCUGGAAUGGCAUAAGCCAUUGCAGCUCAAGCUGACAGUCUCACUUUUUAUAUGAAUUUUGAUAUUUAUAACAAUAUAUAAAUAUUACAUUUUUAUAUUUGUAUUUUGAUAUUUAUCUGUAAUGCAAAAUUCUUCCUUCUGUCAUGUGAAUUCAUGAUGCGCUUCAUGUUCUGGAUUUUAGUACUGAAAUGGGUUCAAGGGGUCAAGAACAAUUUUGCAUCCAGUUUUUUUAACUUCUUCCAUCUAAAUGGUCAGCACUGUUUACCAUGAAUUUCUGCCUAACAGGAUUACCAGAUAGGGACUGUGAAAACUGUCUAAAUGUGCAACACCCGAUGCUUAGGCUAAGGAUCCCUGGUUCCUUGAUCUUCUGGAAUGGAAGGGGCAGAGCGAAGAGACAGAUCAACUGCUGCCUUUCAAAGGGAAAACACAACAUUGUCAGCUUCCUUGAGGAUGGGCAAGAGCUAUUCCACAGCUGAUAAUGUCCCCAUUUUUUCCUUCAUCUUCCUUUCAUUAGUACUUAUUUUUCCUCCCCUGUUGUCUGCAAUAUUUCCUGUCCUACCCCAAAUGCUCAAAUUAUCCCUUUGAAGUCCUGCAGUACAUUAAACAGGAAAAAAUUAUAACCAUUACAAAUGUAGGCAGCCACGUCAUUUGCCACACUGCCCUUAGAUAAAAAGCCAUCAGGAAAGGAACAACAACAACAAAUCUUAAUGCACAAAAUGAACACAUUUUUAGCAUAAGAAAUAGAAUAAUGCUUCAUGUUUAAUAGUAGUGACAUAAGGUCUAAUAUUUGUUACACAAAAGGUGAACUGAGUAACUCCCAUCUGUGCUGCAGUAGUAAAAGAGUAAGAGCUUAACCUUACUGUUCGCCAACCUCUUGCCAAUUUUAGAAGUCACCUAGUAAACAUUAAAGUAACCUGUCAAUUACCCUAUAACACCUUUAGGGUAUCUUGGAUACCAGCUUUGCUUAGGAGAUUAGCUUUAUCACUGGUUCCCAUCAAAGCAUUGGCCAGAUUUGAGCCUUCUUAAAGUGAGAGAUCCAGACAAGCUCAGCGCCCAGGGCGUACAGGCAGAGAUUAUAUUGCCACCUCAAUUAUAAUUAGCACUAUAAAAAGCCACUGCUGCACACAAGCAGUGGAACUUUCCAUAAUGUUUUCUAAUAAUAUGUACUUUGUUCAUCAGGGAUUUGUCGUACACCAUUCACCAUAACUGGCUACUCUGAUUCUGCGAGUCAUUGGCGUAUAUGUGCCUCAGAGAAAAGAACAGAUACUACAUCUGUCUGUCACCACCACCGCAACACUGCCAGAAUUAUUCUUUUGGUUGACACUGCCUCUGAAAAAGGGAACAAUUCAUUCUUUUAUCUCAUCCCAAACAAAGCCUGAUCCACCACUUCUUGAACAUGCAAGGUUUCCACUUAAGUCAACGUGGGGUUUUGUUGCAUAAAGCAUGGAAGAUCCUGCUUCCCUCAAACCUUUCUGGCUCAAAAGAAGUGUCAUGUAAUGCUGCAUCACAGGAAAGGGAGAGAAGUGGCUGUGCAACACAGGGAAACAAACUCCAUUUUAAAAAAAAAAAAAGUACUUCUUUCCAACUUCUGUAGCAUGGAUUUUUUUGACUCUUUAUAGAAAGGAGGCAACAAAAUCAGUGCCAUGAUUGGUUUUGAUUCCCCUUCUUUUAACUUGGAAAUAAGCCUUUACUGUCUACAGAGGACAGAUAUUUAAGAACCCCGUGCAUUGGCUAAAUGUCUGAGUAUGUUAUAAAAUGAAUCCUUUGCCACCCAUAAUGUGAGUGCGUAAUGUGCACAGGAACAUAAAAGAGGAGAAGGGUACACAGGCUAAGGUGUGAGAGCAACCCCUGAAAUGAAGUAUUCUUACGUUUUGUUCCACAUAUCCUUCAGCACACCACUGAAGUUGUGGAAAUAGAUGCUAAUUAAUUUCAGCUGAAAUUAUUCCCUGCCCACUUGUGAAAGGAAGAAAGUUAGCAAUUUAGAUUUAUGGAAAUGGUGAACAGCGGUUCUUUUGGCAGCAGAAAGACACGUAGAAGCUGAGUGCUAAUGUGCUUGUGUCUGUUCACUGCCGCUACAGACAGUUCGUCACCAACACCACGUGAUUCCUCUACUUUCUACGUAGGAAGGUCUGAGUUAAACAUCAAUGUCACUCCUCUGCAUUGCUGAUGUUAAGUUAACAAGGCAAAGAUGCACCCCGAUAAAGUGUCACUUGCAGCAAGCUGCACAUGGUGGGUCUUCUGAUGCGGGUGCAGAUUGGUUUCUGCUCAAGACUCUGUGCCAGCAGGCAGUGAAGCUGUGAGACUGCAGUUCUCAGGUGAGCCCAAGUCCCUUGGAUGGAGAACUACAGGGUGCCCAUGGUUCUUGAGAGGAUGAUGAGCACACGGAGAGUCCAUGACACUGCUUAACCGCAUGCUUUGCUGCCUACAUCAGUUUAUAAAAUGCCUUUGCACUUGAUACUGAGGAGUCGUCUGACUGGCAUCCUGGAUAUUAUGUUUCUUUGCCCUCCAUGCCCUCCUGCAUUCUGCUUUCAGCUGCAAACAAGUGUACUUAAAGGAAAUCAGUGAGUGGAAGAGAGACUAUGUGAUUGAACAACCCUCGGUUCCUUACGAACCCAAGUUAACACACACCUCUCUCCUUUUCGAGUUUGUUGCUCUCUGCGCUGGUGCAUGAUUCCUGUUUUCUCCACUUGCACACUGACUGACUUGCACCAGUAAGGAUUGUUCUGCCCUGCUCUGUUGUACUCCCUGUUAGGGAAGAGCUAAACCAUGAUCAUUAAUGGGAGCGUCAAGUCACUAUCAAACACAUAUACACGUAUACCAUUCUAAACAGCCAUUUAGAGAAAAGGCAGCAACAGUUCUUUGAAAUCUCCAGCAAAGUUCGCCUUGCUUCUCAUCCCUCAAUAUUAGGACCUAUUAGCACCCUGAAUCAUUGCAGGAACAUCUGUGAAGUACAGCCCAGCAAGCCAGGUUUGCAGUAGCUGGAAGGAUUCAUUCUCAUGCAAUAUAUGUUGCAGUCUUUGAUAUCCGAGUUCCCUGGUGUUGCUACCACUUGAUCAAAUGAGUCUGAAGCAGAAUUUCUACAAAAUACGCAAGGGCAGUGGUAGAAGAAAGCUGAUAGGAUUCCAAAUACAGCUUUUUAGAUGCAAAGCUGAAGUUCCUACCUUAAAUCUGUAAUGACCAAGGUGGUGUUUCGGAUUUUUUUUGCUUCAGUGCUACAUAAAUGCUGAAGUUGCAAUUUUGCAAAGUUAAAUGUGUUACACCAAGGCCUGCAUCCUACUGUUAUUUAUAUUAGAAUUCUGAGGACAACACUACGAAUGAAUUUGGUGAAAGAGUUUGUUUCAGAUACCUACAAAAGAUAUUUUCGUCUUAGCAAGAAAAUGCUUUAACUGUUUAAACUGUAAGCAGCUCUUACGGUGUGUGAGGCUGCUUUUCCCUAAAUGUGCUGUUGCAGAUCAUGCCAGUAAAUAAGAAGUCUAUUCUUUUUUUUUAAUUAUUAUUGAUUUUUUUUAUUCUGAGAGGAAAAAAAGAGAUUGGAACAUAAUUUUUUAAAUUAUUUUUUCUUACUUUCAGCACUUAUAUUGCACAGUUAGUUUUAACAGCUCAUUCAAACUGAAUUUCAGAACCCAGGGGAGGAACCAUUAAAUCACAAUAAAGUAUUUAAUGGAGUUGUGCCAUCUGCAUUUCAGAGACUUAACUGCAAACUGAGCCAAAGAUCUUGUGAUUUCAGAAUAAGAGAAUAUUAUUAGAGCCCAGAGACUUUUGACACCUGGUCUCUCAUGGUGGAGUGCAUUUCAAAUCAACAUUACACACACUUAAUAGAUUUCAAUUACUGGGUUUGUGUGAAACAAGAAGACAACUAACCAAAACUUUUUCUUUCAUCUUCUGAUGAGCUGGCAGCUUAUCAUGACAUUUUGUAAAUCAUUCAGGUUGGAAUUUGACAAUGUGAGAGAUUUUAGGAAUACUUUUAUGCCACUGCAGUGAACUGACAGAGCCAUCCUGUCUCGAUGUAUGACAACUUUUCCUUAUCAUAUAAAAUUAUUUUUAAGUGUUCUUGGUUUUAUGUGUUGUUUUGGGGUUUUUUUUAAUAGUUUUUGUUUGGUUGGUUGGUUUGGUUUGGUUUGGUUUCUUGAGGGAUGACCUAGAGAUGUGUGUUAGAAAUUUAUAUUCAUCACAAAAAAAAAGAAAAAAAAAAAGUUGAAGAAAGGAGAUGUGCUAGUUCCAGUUAAAUUUCUGAAAGGUAAUAUUUUUCAUGACUGGUAGAACAUUUUUGUGCAAGAUGGAAAAGGGCAUACUCAUCUAAAGAAGACACAAGAUCCUCUUUUCUUUUCAGAUUGUUAGUGGUACAGCAGCCAGAAAACUUGCCUGACACAAAAUGCUGAGAUUCCUACCUGUACUCUGAUUCAGGCAAUACAGCUGCUUCGUCUGGCUUUCUGGUAUUUCAAUUAACUAUCCUGACUAUUUCUUUUCCCUCAGGGAUUCCACUUUUCCAAUGAGUACUCUGGUUCUCAUGAUAAUUUUGAGAAAUCUUCAUUUUGUCUUAUUUGAUUUUAUCUCUAUUGACAGUCAAAACAUAUUUUCCAGACAGCUGUUGUAGAGGCUGGGGUUUGAGGCUGCACUGCAUUAGAGGCUCUGCCAAGGUGCAGCAGCAACAGGCUCUUCCCUUGAGGAUUCCCAGCUUAAAAUUACAGCCAAAAAGACAAAGUGCAGGAGAGAAACAAAGUGAAUGGUCAGAAGAAUAAGUAAACUAACAAAAUAUUUUAUGAUAAAAUAAGAUAUAUUCAUGCAAUUCUUUUUCUGUUUGUGGUAUUACUUGUAUCGGCCAUUGGUAUCAGUAAAGAAAUCAUCUGGAGAUGACUUCGGUUGUCCAAGUUAAAAGCUCCUUCAGCCCUCAGACUGACAUCUGUAUCCUCACAGGAACCUCUUAAGGAUUGUGCGGGUCCCAGAGCACCAGCCAUGUCGUCUCUUUUGAGCUCAAUAUCAGGACAUCUCUCCCUGGAGCAGGAGGUUGCUGCAGUACUGUUUUACCCCACUAGUAGUCAAUUUUAAUAAUAGUAAUAGUAAUAGUAAUGGUAAUGGUAAUAAUAAUUCCUCUAAUGAAAAUAAAGAGAAACUCAGAAAGCAAAAAUAUAUUUAAGUAUAGGCAUGUAGAAUAAACAAUGUUUAUGUCAUCACUGGAUGGGCACAUUGACUGUACUAUUGAACAGAAUUUAUAAUGCUUUAUGACUACAUGUUUCUAAUAUUAUGGAUAAAUCUUCAUAACAUUAAAAUAUAUAAAUAUUUCUCAUAAA
Aquila chrysaetos chrysaetos is the source of this 8057-nucleotide long non-coding RNA. RefSeq lists it as uncharacterized. Lineage: Eukaryota; Metazoa; Chordata; Aves; Accipitriformes; Accipitridae. The transcript has 2 exons. The record is from RefSeq and is a predicted model, not a curated record.